GAUAACUCGGUGAAAAUCGAGCUAAUACCGGAUAGUCCCGAAAGGGUAAAGAUUUAUCGGUGUGAGAGGGGCCUGCGGCCUAUCAGUUAGUUGGUAAGGUAAAAGCUUACCAAGACUAUGACGGGUAACUGGUCUGAGAGGAUGACCAGUCAGAAUGGAACUGAGACACGGUCCAUACUCCUACGGGAGGCAGCAGUAAGGAAUCUUCCACAAUGGGCGAAAGCCUGAUGGAGCGACACCGCGUGAAGGAUGACACCAUUAUUUGGCGUAAACUUCUGUCCUGAGGGAAGAAAUUUUUGACGGUACCUCAGAAGAAAGCACCGGCUAAUUCCGUGCCAGCAGCCGCGGUAAUACGGAAGGUGCAAGCGUUACUCGGAAUCACUGGGCGUAAAGGGUCCGCAGCCUUUUUAUUAAGUCUGAUGUAAAAUCUUUGAGCUCAACUCAAAGCGCGUAUUGGAAACUAAUAAAAUAGAGUUAUACAGAGGUAACUGGAAUGUCAUGUGGAGGGGUAAAAUCCGUAGAUCCAUGAUGGAACGCCAAAAGCGAAUGCAGGUUACUGGGUAUAUACUGACGGUCAGGGACGAAAGCGUGGGUAGCGAAGGGGAUUAGAUACCCCCGUAGUCCACGCCCUAGACGAUGCAUGCUCGAUGUUGGAUUUAUUAUCUGAAUUCAGUGUCUUAAGCUAACGCGGUAAGCAUGCCGCCUGUGGAGUACGGCCGCAAGGCUAAAACAUAAAGGAAUAGACGGGGGCCCACACAAGCGGUGGAACAUGGGGUUUAAUUCGAUAAUACGCGGAACACCUCACCCAGGUUUGACAUCCCGAGAAUCAUUUAGAAAUAAUUGAGUGCCUUACGGAACUCGGUGACAGGUGAUGCACGGUCGUCGUCAGCUCGUGCUUUGAAGUGUACUGUUAAGUCAGCCAACGAGCGCAACCCAUAUCGUAUGUUGCUAUUUCAUACGAGACUGCCGCCUCCAAGGCGGAGGAAGGUAUGGAUGACGUCAGAUCUGCGUGUCCCUUAUACCUGGGGCGACACCCAUGUUACAAUGGUCGAUACAAAGGGCAGCAAACUCGCGAGAGUAAGCAAAUCCCAUAAAAUCGAUCUCAGUCCGGAUAAGAGUCUGCAACUCGACUCUUUGAAGUUGGAAUCGCUAGUAACCGUAAAUCAGACACGUUACGGUGAAUAUGUUCCUGGGCCUUGUACUCACCGCCCGUCAAGUCAUGAAAGGCAGAGACGCCCGAAGCACCCUUACUCCUCGGAGGGGGUACCAC
RNAcentral lists this ribosomal RNA (1270 nucleotides) under uncultured bacterium. Its description in RNAcentral is "bacterial SSU rRNA". It matches the Rfam family "Bacterial small subunit ribosomal RNA", at positions 142 to 1460 of the family's 1533-position model. The record is from RNAcentral.